GCCACCGUAAGGUGAGAGGAAGGUGGGAUGACGUCAAAUCAGCACGGCCUUAUGUCCAGGCUACACACGUGUUACAAUGGCCGGUACAAAGGGCAGCUACUUCGCGAGAAGAUGCUAAUCUCGAAAGCCGGUCUCAGUUCGGAUCGAAGUCUGCAACCCGACUUCGUGAAGCUGGAUUCGCUAGUAAUCGCGCAUCAGCCAUGGCGCGGUGAAUACGUUCCCGGGCCUU
Molecule: ribosomal RNA, 229 nt
Filed under: uncultured Sphingobacteriales bacterium
Lineage: Bacteria; Pseudomonadati; Bacteroidota; Sphingobacteriia; Sphingobacteriales
Description: partial 16S ribosomal RNA
Rfam family: Bacterial small subunit ribosomal RNA
Source: RNAcentral